RNAcentral lists this ribosomal RNA (1352 nucleotides) under Massilia yuzhufengensis. Its description in RNAcentral is "bacterial LSU rRNA". It matches the Rfam family "Bacterial large subunit ribosomal RNA", at positions 1581 to 2925 of the family's 2925-position model. Lineage: Bacteria; Pseudomonadati; Pseudomonadota; Betaproteobacteria; Burkholderiales; Oxalobacteraceae. The record is from RNAcentral.
UGCUGCGAAGCAAUCGGAAGUGGUUCCAAGAAAAGCCUCUAAGCUUCAGUCAUACGAGACCGUACCGCAAACCGACACAGGUGGGCGAGAUGAGUAUUCUAAGGCGCUUGAGAGAACUCGGGAGAAGGAACUCGGCAAAUUGGUACCGUAACUUCGGGAAAAGGUACGCCCUUGUAGUUUGACCACUUUACUGUGGAAGGAUGAACGGGUUGCAAUAAACUGGUGGCUGCGACUGUUUAAUAAAAACACAGCACUCUGCAAACACGAAAGUGGACGUAUAGGGUGUGACGCCUGCCCGGUGCUGGAAGAUUAAAUGAUGGGGUGCAAGCUCUUGAUUGAAGUCCCAGUAAACGGCGGCCGUAACUAUAACGGUCCUAAGGUAGCGAAAUUCCUUGUCGGGUAAGUUCCGACCUGCACGAAUGGCGUAACGAUGGCCACACUGUCUCCUCCCGAGACUCAGCGAAGUUGAAAUGUUUGUGAUGAUGCAAUCUACCCGCGGCUAGACGGAAAGACCCCAUGAACCUUUACUGUAGCUUUGCAUUGGACUUUGAACCAAUCUGUGUAGGAUAGGUGGGAGGCUUUGAAGCGGGGACGCCAGUUCUCGUGGAGCCAUCCUUGAAAUACCACCCUGGUUUGUUUGAGGUUCUAACCUUGGUCCGUUAUCCGGAUCGGGGACAGUGCAUGGUAGGCAGUUUGACUGGGGCGGUCUCCUCCUAAAGUGUAACGGAGGAGUUCGAAGGUACGCUAGGUACGGUCGGACAUCGUGCUAAUAGUGCAAUGGCAUAAGCGUGCUUAACUGCGAGACCGACAAGUCGAGCAGGUACGAAAGUAGGACAUAGUGAUCCGGUGGUUCUGUAUGGAAGGGCCAUCGCUCAACGGAUAAAAGGUACUCUGGGGAUAACAGGCUGAUUCCUCCCAAGAGUUCAUAUCGACGGGGGAGUUUGGCACCUCGAUGUCGGCUCAUCACAUCCUGGGGCUGUAGCCGGUCCCAAGGGUAUGGCUGUUCGCCAUUUAAAGUGGUACGUGAGCUGGGUUUAAAACGUCGUGAGACAGUUUGGUCCCUAUCUGCCGUGGGCGUUGGAAAUUUGAAGGGGGCUGCUCCUAGUACGAGAGGACCGGAGUGGACGAACCUCUGGUGUACCGGUUGUCACGCCAGUGGCAUUGCCGGGUAGCUAAGUUCGGAAGAGAUAACCGCUGAAAGCAUCUAAGCGGGAAACUUGCCUUGAGAUGAGAUUUCCCGGAGCCUUGAGCUCCUUGAAGGGUCGUUCGAGACCAGGACGUUGAUAGGCUGGGUGUGGAAGUGCAGUAAUGCAUUAAGCUAACCAGUACUAAUUGCCCGUACGGCUUGUCCC